This 757-nucleotide long non-coding RNA is filed under the name Sinocyclocheilus grahami. RNAcentral's name for it is "lncRNA (ENSSGRG00000009500.1)". Lineage: Eukaryota; Metazoa; Chordata; Actinopteri; Cypriniformes; Cyprinidae. The record is from RNAcentral.
CGCACUUGUUGAGUUUGGGAACUUUCAGAGGCUUGAACUUCUCACUUUGGACGCAGCGGAGCUCUCACCUCAUCAUCAUUAUCAUCAGAUUCAGGCGACGUGGAUGUAUGCUGACUUUUUCGUCUAGGACUAUGUUUUGCUUUGUCGAAGUUGAUGUGGAUUGUCUUCAGUGUUUUACGCGUUAGACGCACACAGCGCGCGCGAGUAAUAAAGAACAUAACUGUGAGGAUGUGGAUGCGCCUUUAAUGCAUAUACAGAUUCAUAUCUGAAGGAGAGUUAGUGUUUGUGGGGCUAUUGGGAUAUGGCACUAUUUAUGGACUUUAAAUGCUCUCUAAAGGGACACUCGCUGGUGCAGUGAAUGGAGAACAUCGCAGCUUUGCCAAGAAUAAACUUCUCGAUCAACUCCUCUUCAUACCUUGGCAGCUCAGAAGUUUCUUCAAUCCUCAAAAUGUCAAACCCAGCUUCCUGAGGAGAGCGUGGCUUUCAUUUGCUUUGAUGUUGGCCUUCCCCUCGUCUUUCUUCUUGUUAAUUUAAACAGUGGAAGACAAUCAGCGCUGGAGGAUGAAAAAUGUGAUAAACAUUGGAAAGAGGCUGGUUUGGGGUCAUGAUACUCUCUGGCUGGAUGCUGAUAAUUCGCCAACAAAUGUGAUGGUCUCUCCUUGAAGAGUUCUGUGUUUAAAGCAAAAGUACUAAAAGACAUUCUUCUUCUCUGUCUUCACAUUAAACCAGCUUGAGUGAGAUCGAAUUAAACCUGGCC